Molecule: long non-coding RNA, 206 nt
Filed under: Phoenix dactylifera (date palm)
Lineage: Eukaryota; Viridiplantae; Streptophyta; Magnoliopsida; Arecales; Arecaceae
Description: long non-coding RNA (PDAC_LNC001429)
Source: RNAcentral
UUUUGUCCGCGAUUCUACAUGAUAUGCUUAUCUUUUUGAUUUUUUGUAUAAAUACCCUCUUAAAUAUCGAAUUUUGCACGAAAAUCCUUCCAAAAUUAAUAUUUGUAUGAAUACCCUCGUAAAAUACUUGUUUUGCUAUGCUAUUCCUUUUUUUUUAUUUUUGUUUUUGUAUACGUGCUCACGCCAUCUAAUGCUAUUAAAAAAUU